GUGUGUGUUCGUCUCAACGUAGCACGAAAUGUGUCUCCUCUCUGCACAGACACACACACACACCCCAACGUGAGACGUGCUAGAUAACGGUUUUUGGUAUCGAAAGUUUUAUAUUUGUUGCCUUAAGACUGUGUGGAUGCUAAAGUCUGUAUACUAAAACAUUCCGCUAGUUAAACGUAUAUAUUUAUUGGACUAGAGCAGCCGACUUCGUUUCUACUAAAGAGUGUCCGCUUCCCCUCCCCUCGAUGAAGCGCUGCGAUGCCCUCUGAUUUUAUAUCCCUCCUUAGCUCGGAUCUCGACCUCAAUUCCCCUAAAUCUCUAUAUUCUAAAGAGUCAGUAUAUGACCUCCUCCCCAAAGAGCUCCAACUUCAGCCGUCGUCCACCCAGACAGACCCAGCCACCAUGAGCCAGAAGAGUGGGGGAGAGGCGGGACCUCCCCCCUCAGCAGCCCUGGCCUCAGAUGCCACCUCUUCCACCUCCAGCCCCUCUGCUUCUUCCUCCCUGGCCAUGGGAGCACCAUCCUCUGCCCCUUCAACUGGCCCCUCUACCUCAUCCUCAGACCACCUCAAUGUUCCCCAGCAUCACCACCCCACUGGCGGGGACGGACCUUCAGAGAUGCAAAGUAUGGAGGGCGCUGUAUCUGCCUCCAGCAGAGCCAACAGUGGAGCAAACACAGCAGCGGGAGACAUAGGGUCAGGAGUGUUGUCAGGGUUAGGAGUCCAGCAGCCACAGAACACGCCAUCAAAACGGAGACCUGUCUUAAGCAUAUCGCCACCACCCGAGGACCUAUUUGAUGACAGCCAGAUGUCUUGUCAAGAGGAACCUACAGUAUCUGGUCCACCGGGUCCAGAUUCAGAGCAUAGCAGCAGUAUGUGGGCUGAUGAUUCCGUUUCUAACUUCAGUUUGAUCAGUUCCAUUUCCUACAAUGACAACACAGAGGUGCCACGCAAGUCGAGAAAACGGACCCCUCGCCAGCGGCCUGGACCUAAACCUGCUCCUCCAGAGGACAGCAUGGAUGUGUUUGAUGCUGACAGUGCUAAGGCUCCUCACUUUGUCUUAUCACAGCUGGGCCCAGACAAGUCUAGCUCAAUGGCCAGCUGUCUUGAGUCAGGGACUGCAGUGAAGGGUGGGUCACUGUCUGGUCAGUUCCCCCAGAGGAGUGAUGGGAAGGAGCUUAAGAUCUUGGUGCAGCCAGAAACCCAGCACAGAGCCCGCUAUUUGACUGAGGGCAGUCGAGGCUCCGUCAAAGACCGCACACAGCAAGGAUUUCCCACUGUUAAGUUGGAAGGUGUGAAUGAACCAGUUGUGCUGCAGGUGUUCGUGGCAAAUGAUGCAGGCAGAGUCAAGCCUCAUGGCUUCUACCAAGCAUGCAGAGUGACUGGCCGUAACACCACUGCAUGCAAGGAAGUGGACAUUGAAGGCACCACUGUUAUUGAGAUCCCUCUGGAACCUAGCAAUGACAUGACACUUGCGGUGGACUGUGUAGGAAUUUUAAAGCUGCGUAAUGCAGAUGUGGAAGCCCGUAUUGGUGUGGCAGGGUCUAAAAAGAAGAGUACUCGAGCUAGGCUAGCCUUCAGAGUCAGCAUCACUCAAGCAGAUGGAUCAGUCCUCACAUUACAGGUCCCCUCAUCACCAAUCCUCUGCACUCAACCUGCAGGAGUGCCAGAGAUCCUGAAAAAGAGCCUUCACACCGGUUCAGUAAGAGGAGGAGAAGAGGUUUUCAUCAUUGGGAAGAACUUCCUAAAAGGAACCAAAGUUAUUUUUCAAGAAAAUAUUGCAGAUGAUAAUUCCUGGCAAGCUGAGGCAAAGAUUGACAUGGACCUAUUCCAUCAGAAUCACCUGAUAGUGACAGUCCCGCCGUUCCACAACCAAUCAAUCUCUUCUCCAGUUUCCGUGGGUAUCUUUGUGAUGACCAAUGCUGGUAGAUCACAUGAUGCCCAGCCCUUCACCUACACUCCAGACUCAGCUGAUAACCCACUAAUCCGGACAGUGAAAACAGAAGCUCCCACUCUGGUCAAGACAUGUAUAUUCAAUGAACAGCUCAAAUCCCUGUCUUCUGACCGAACUGACUGCACUGCUCAACCAUCUAAACGGCAAGAAGAUACACCAAUGGAAGUGUCGAGCAAUCCCCCACCCGCUGAUGUCUUUAAACCUGACCCUCUCGUCUCAGUACAGCAGACCCUGGAACUCAGUUCUAGUCCUCAUCCAGGUGGAGAGUCCUUUCAGAGCCCACUGCCCUUACAGCCUGAGGAUGUGGAGCUUCCUCAGGCCCCCCCUGUGUUCCCUAGCCUCGAAUCUCUCAGCGCCAUACAAAAACAAGACAUUGCCCCGGCACCACCUUUCCCAGUAUCAGGAGACACCACAAUCCCCCCUGUGACCCCAGAAGUCCCUCAGCAGUUCCUCAGAGACCCUCAAGAAAGCCUGCCUCCUGAGGGUUCUAAUAAUAGUGGUGGGGUCGUAGUUGUGGCUAUGCCUCAAAUAGCAGCCACCUCUCAGCCACAGUCACAGGUUUCCAUGUUUCCCCAGGAAGGAGUUGCCCAGCUGGAGAGGGCAGUCAGGGAGCUACAAGCUGGAAGUAGCACCACACUACAGCAGGUGUUGGAAGCAGCUGUAGCGCAGCAACAGCAGCAGCAACUGAACUCUGUCCUAUACAGCCCCACACCCUCUGCAGAUUCCCUUCAGCAGCACGUCCAGGAGAACAUGAACAGCCUUCGACUGGGAACCACAGAAAAUUCACUUUCUACACAACAACAGCUGCAAAUACAACAACAGCAGCAAAUUCAACAACAGCAGCAAAUUCAACAGCAGCAACAACAACAAAUUCAGCAGCAGUUUCAACAGCAUCAACAACUGCAGCAACAGCAGCAAAUUCUAGGUAACCUUCAGCAUCAACAGCAGCAGCAAGUCCUCGGCAACAUGCAGAUCCAACAGCAAAUUAUCUUACAGCCACAGGACCAGCAGCAACUACAGCAGCAACAGAUCAUGGAAAACAUUCAACAACAACAGCAGCUUCAACAAAAUCAACAAGUCCUUAACAACAUUCAGCUUCAGGAUCAGCAACAACAAAAUCAAAUACUUAACAAUUUGCAACUACAGCAGCAACAACAGCAACAAAAUCAAGUGUUAAGCAACUUACAACAGCAACAACAGUUGCAAGAGCAGCAGGUCUUAGAGAAUCUACAACAGCAACUUCAGGCUGAGUUACUUCAGCCUCAGAUCCACACCUCCCCCCAAGUACAGCAGCCAGUAUCUCUUCUUCAGCAGGCAGGUGAGCUGCUCACUAUCCAGACCAGCUUCCCCACACAGCCUCCAUCCCACACCUCUCCCCCUCAACAGCUCUUUCAGUCACCCAGACCACUUGCUGAGACACAGGGUACCCAACAGCAGGUCCAGGCUGCCUUGCUUCAGAAUACGCUGACUGUUCUGACCAGUGGCAGUCUCAACACAGAGCAGCAGUCCACAGGGUCUACCCUCUACCUGUCUCCAAAUCCACAGCCCCAACAACAGCAGCAGCAACAGCAGCAGCUGGCAUUCAUCUCUUCCAUGGAGACAUCUACUAGCCAGCCUCAGUCUGUUCCAAUGUUUCAAAACCAACCCCAACCCCAGCUUUCCCAAAUUCAGCAACAGAGCACCCCAAUGGAGCAGCAGCAGUCACCACAGCAAAACCAACAACAGUCAUCACAACUUACAAUCGGCCAGCAGGGUGCCUUGUUCCAAAGUAUCCCAAACCAUUCACAGACUAACUCUGUCCCCCAGAGUCAGCUCACCCAACCCCAGCAGACGGGUCUGCUCCUCUGCACCACAGAUCUUAACCCCCAAGCUAUUCCUCCAACUAUUCUCUUCAGCACCCAGACCCAAGGCCCUUCAUCUAUAGGCAGCAUUGGUGUUGGAAUUCCCCAGCCAGAUCCAACAGAGCCCAUGUCCUUCCAAGAUGAGAGCUCGGGAAGCAACUCAACAACGGCCGAGAACCAACCACAGAACCUGUUCCAAGAACAGCAGCCAAUGCAAGUAGGCCCCAGCAGUAGCAGCGUCCCAAGCAAUCAACCUGUGGAGCUGUUCCUGCCACCAACAUCCCUUUCUAGCCUGCAGAAUACUAUUGGAUCACAAGAGUUGAACAAUCAGGCUUCUGCCCCAGGUCCUACCAUCUUUGUGGUACAGGGAGGUGUGGGCGUGGUUGCCAAUCCUGGCCAGCAGCCCCCAGAGCAGCUUUUCCAGACCACAGUCAGUGGGAAUGUGGCUCAACAAGGACAGCCCAACUUGUUUGUGUUUGGAAUCCAGAACGACUCACCCCAGCUGCUCAGUUCCUCUGGACCCACCUUGCCAGCUCAGAGCCAGCCCCAGAACCCUGGCCACAUGCAGACUCUCUUGGACCAGCCCAUGGCCCAGGCUGCAUCCUCGAUACCAACUACCAUACACAGCAGCUUACAGAACACCCUUCAGGCCCAAAUGCAGUCCAGCUUAGAGAACGCCAUGCAGACCAGCUUACAGAACGCAAUGCAGACAAACACACAAACAGCCCUACCGCCCAGUUUACAGGCAACCAUAGAUACAAGCCUGCCGACUCCAAUGCAGACCAAUUUGCAGACACAGAUACAGACCAGCCUACAGAAUACAUUGCAGGCAUCGAUAUCUGCAUCAUCCAACAUGGAUAAGAUUGAGGACAUACUGGAAAGCCUACAGAAGCAGUGAUAAAUAGUUGAUGACGUGGGCACUUAGGAGAGUGAGAUAUAUGUAGCAGAGAGUUGUACAUCCUAACAUCAGCUAAUAGACUGGAGUGUGGUAUUUUGUGCCAAUGCAGAAGAAAAGAUUUUAAUUAUUUAAGAGUGAAAUGCCCCAUUUACCUAAAACCCAAAUUAUGAGCUCUGUAACCCCUUAAUUUUAUGAAAUAUUUAUCAGUAAUUAUAGCCUUCGUACAUCCAUUGUCCUUGAAUCGAUCAAUUCGCCUUUGUUAUUACCCCUCUUGCAGGAUGAGAGAGGCCUGUAAUAACCGCUUUAUCCAUUAGUCUAAAAAUGCAGUGUUUUGUUGUCAGAGUGUUUUAAUUAUGUGAGCCUACCAGGUUUGGUGUAAAAACUGGAAAGGUAUUUCGAAUGUCAACAGGAGGCAACCGGGUGAAGAGUAAUGGAGAGGAGUCUGUAAGAACAUGCAGAUAAAUCCAAAACAUAAAAAGAAAUAUCCAACUCUGGACUGAAUACCAGAUUGCACAAGUGUCAGAUAUAGGCCGAAUCUCAUUUUAUGAGUGUAUAAAUUCAAAGUUUGCCAUUCAUUUGGAGCAACAGAGAGGUCAUUUUACCCAACAUAAAAUGAUGAUGGAUUAUUGUUGUAAGCAUUCAGUUGAACUGUUUUUUGCAAUUAAGAUAUAUUUCACAAUCAAUUCAACUUUUUGUUGGUAUAUGUCAAAAUUUGACUUUAAUCUACUCUGAGAGUAAAGAUGUUUAAAUUUGGUACAUUAAGAGAAUGUUUUGCCUCUUUAAACAUCGACCCUCUGCAGUGAAACGAGGCAUUUCAAAACAUUGCAAGAGAUUCACUCACAAAUGAGAUUCAACCUAGCGAAUAAUGUGACUUGGCCUUUUGUUUGGGCACCUCCCAGUGUUUUUAUAGUUUAGGCCUCAUCACUGGGUUUGCAGAAACAUUCUUGGUGAAGUUUGAAGAAGCAGUGAGCAAUGUGUGUCUUUAUGUUAUGAAGAAGAUGGUAAAUUUUACCAAUUUAACGUGGAUAGAAAGAAAACUUUCCACUAGUGAAAAUGGAGUGUUGUGUGGUUUUAUAAACAUUUUAUCUCAAGCACUUUAUAACCUCUUUGUGUAACCAGCUAAUCCUUAUAUCCGUCCACAGCUCUCUACUGACCCAGCUGAAUUUGUACUUGGAAACGUCCAUUUAAAAAAACCGAGAAAAAAACAGAAAGCAGUUGUCUUUGUAAAGGUAAAUACAUGUUAAACAAGCAUUUUUACAUUUUCUCAUGUCAGAAUAUUUUUUGAGGUCUAGGACAACUUUGUAUAGAAUGUCUGCUCACUGUUGAAUCCCUCUUUGUAUUCAGUCUCAGUGGUCCAGUCAAGUCUGUCAAAAAACAGCCAUUCCCACAAAAGCUUUGUCAUUUUCAGUGUUGGAGUGGUAAGUAGGAUUUUGUGUUUUUACCCACUGACAGAACACCCAAAAUACUGAUCAUCAGUUUGUGCAUUGAAAUGAAGGGUUAUCAUUUUUGCUAUUUGUACUAUAUACUGUUCAGUCUGUCACUUGACUGUUUUACCUUGUGUUGUGUUAGAUGUUUAAGUUUUCGUCUCAGUGUUGGUACUGUGUGCAGGCUGGCGCCGUGUGAAGUUGGCAUCCAGUACCGUCCCUUGUGUUGUGAACAGGGGCUCACUGGUAAAUGAAAUCUCUGUUACAUAGAGGCCGCCAUUUUGAUUCAAUCUAUGGUGCUAUGUACAGAAGUGAUGGGCACUUCUGAUGUGAUGUUUAUACUUAUAUUAAUAGCACUGACAUUAAUUGUUAGUUUUCAAGCGGAGUUAAGCGUAGAGAGCUGGCUGUUGUUGCGGGGUCAGACUGGAGUGCACCCAGGCAUACCAAAGCUCCUGUUGUGAAUUGUCGUCUUUUUUUGUCUCAUGCUUGUCUUUGCAAAUGCCCUCAUAAUGUUUACUCAUUUGUACUUACUCAUUUAAAUUAUGCAGCUCUUACACGGAUAGCAAUUCAGCACGUCGUUUUCUUUUUAAUUACACAGUUUAAAAAAAAGAGAUUUAUAAUGGUACUUUGUUUUAUGGAUCAUAAUCGCUCAUUAACAUUUCCACUAAUUUGAUACUACAACUUUCCUUUUCUCAUAACAUUACUCUAUUUUUGAUGCAACAUAAUACUGCUGUACUUUCCAUAUCUACAACAGUAGCCAAUCUGGCAUUAUCAAAGGCCAAUUCUUGAGAAUAAUUCAAACUUUAGAAUAGAAUAGCUCACAUAUACAUUUGUUUACAUUUUCAUAGUCCUACUAUUUUGUCCUGCAGCUGAUAGUAAUCCAUUUUAAAGUAACUUAUCUUUUUUAGAAUUUUGUAUCCAUGUAUCGAAAUGUAGAGUAUUUUUGUAAAUGAAACUUUUUGGUUUAUGCUCAUAGCACAGAAUAUCAUUGCUGGUAUGUUUUCCUGAAGUGAAGCGCAGGUUUAUUGUGAAGUGUAAUUAGAAAUGUAAUUAAGCGGACGUCAAGCAAUUAUGAAUUCUUUUUUAAUGAAUUUACCCAUCCUGUAUAACCCAUUGCCUAGAAUUUGUGUGUGCAUUUUUGUUUGUUUUUUUUUUCUUUUUUCCUUUUUUACGUCAUGCAUCUCAAAUGGCACUUUGACUCAUCCAUUAACUGUAGAUCAGGUUCGAGCGCAGUAGUGAUGUUUCCAAGCAUUCCAUUCCUCUUGGUUAGGGGAGUUUAAGAGCACAUGAUGUUGCAGAAGAAGAAGUGCAGAACAGUAAUGCCUCUUAAAGCCAUACCAACACAGAAAGCCAACCUGUGACUUUUGAUGAAUGUAAAUUUUACCUCAUGGUGUGGAAAUAGAGCUUGCUCUACAUCUAACAUCGGACCAAUUACAGUUUUGGAGAAAAUAUAUUUUGAGGCAGAGGGGAUUGGGAGGUGGCACGAACUGUCAUUUGUGUCUCUAUACAUUUGUCUAAUUGUUUUGUCUCUGAUUGUGGUGUAAUUCAUGUUUUCACGUCCAGUCAUUUUAUUUUGAGCAAUCCAGGAUGCUCAGUCUGACUCUUCGAAUAGCCACUUCCACCUGGAAAAAA
RNA transcript from Sphaeramia orbicularis (orbiculate cardinalfish), 7745 nucleotides. It is a transcript of the gene named nuclear factor of activated T cells 5a, with no coding region annotated. The record is from RefSeq and is a predicted model, not a curated record. The transcript has 13 exons. Lineage: Eukaryota; Metazoa; Chordata; Actinopteri; Kurtiformes; Apogonidae.